UACAGAGGUGGCAAGCGUUGUUCGGAAUUACUGGGCGUAAAGGGCGCGUAGGCGGCCUUCUAAGUCAGACGUGAAAUCCCCCGGCUUAACCUGGGAACUGCGUCUGAUACUGGAGGGCUUGAGUGCGGGAGAGGGAUGUGGAAUUCCAGGUGUAGCGGUGAAAUGCGUAGAUAUCUGGAGGAACACCGGUGGCGACGGCGGCAUCCUGGACCGACACUGACGCUGAGGCGCGAAAGCUAGGGUAGCAAACGGG
This 253-nucleotide ribosomal RNA is filed under the name uncultured bacterium. RNAcentral describes it as "partial 16S ribosomal RNA". It matches the Rfam family "Bacterial small subunit ribosomal RNA", at positions 524 to 776 of the family's 1533-position model. The record is from RNAcentral.